CACAGCUGCUUGUUUUGUUGACUCCCAUCUAUUAAGUUUGACAUCAAACUGUGUCUUCAACACAUACCUUAGCAACUGAUCUUUGAACUCAUCACCAUUAUUGAAAGUUUUCAUUAGCCACAGAUAUGGAGGCUUAUCAUAGUCUGCACGGCUUCUCUGUGAGGUUGCGUUCUUUUUUCUUCUUGUUUUUCUUUCUUCUUUGUGAAAAUUUGCCCAUUCUUCAUCUGUAUCAACUGGAGAAUCAGGAUACUCAUCUCCUCUAACAGGCUUCUCAUUUCACUUUCUUGAGCAGGAGCAAGGUUUGGUUGUGUACACUCGGUCUGUGCAGCCUGUGAAAACAGAUUUUGGAAUCGAACAUCUUCAGCUCCUUGACCCAAAAUAUUUUCUUCAUCCUCCGACUGAUGACCAUUUGCAGCUUUUUCCUGUUCUUCUCUAAUUUCAUUCUCAUUCAUUUCUUCUUCAUCACUGAUCUCCUCUCUAUUUUCAUCGUCACUCUUCUCAUCCUCACUCUUCUCUUCAUCUUCACUCUUCUCUUCAUCCACAUUCUGACCAUAGACAAUGUACAAAUCAACUUCACCACCAGCUUCAGUUUCUUUACACAACUUCCUAAUCUCGGCAUCUUUGUCUUUGUAUAUCGAUCUAGCCA
This 646-nucleotide long non-coding RNA is filed under the name Brassica napus (rape). RNAcentral's name for it is "long non-coding RNA (BNAP_LNC022562)". Lineage: Eukaryota; Viridiplantae; Streptophyta; Magnoliopsida; Brassicales; Brassicaceae. The record is from RNAcentral.